GUGAACGCUGGCGGUAGGCCUAACACAUGCAAGUCGAACGGCAGCACAGUAAGCGCUUGCUCUUACGGGUGGCGAGUGGCGGACGGGUGAGGAAUACAUCGGAAUCUACUUUUUCGUGGGGGAUAACGUAGGGAAACUUACGCUAAUACCGCAUACGACCUACGGGUGAAAGCAGGGGAUCUUCGGACCUUGCGCGAUUGAAUGGGCCGAUGUCGGAUUAGCUAGUUGGCGGGGUAAAGGCCCACCACGGCGACGAUCCGUAGCUGGUCUGAGAGGAUGAUCAGCCACACUGGAACUGAGACACGGUCCAGACUACUACGGGAAGCAGCAGUGGGGAAUAUUGGACAAUGAGCGCAAGCCUGAUCCAGCCAUACCGCGUGAGUGAAGAAGGCCUUCGGGUUGUAAAGCCCUUUUGUUGGGAAAGAAAAGCAGCAGGUUAAUACCCCGCUGUUCUGACGGUACCCAAAGAAUAAGCACCGGCUAACUUCGUG
Molecule: ribosomal RNA, 491 nt
Filed under: uncultured bacterium
Lineage: Bacteria
Description: partial 16S ribosomal RNA
Rfam family: Bacterial small subunit ribosomal RNA
Source: RNAcentral